CGGCCGAUGGUGUGCGGCACAUGGCGUGGUUUUCCGUACUGCACGACAAGCCGGGGCUGUUCUACAGCCGGCUUUCGGCCGAC
This 83-nucleotide transfer RNA is filed under the name Ralstonia wenshanensis. Its description in RNAcentral is "tRNA-Gly". The record is from RNAcentral. Lineage: Bacteria; Pseudomonadati; Pseudomonadota; Betaproteobacteria; Burkholderiales; Burkholderiaceae.